CUCGAGCCCCUUCAAGCUCUUCCAGUUCUUUCUCUGAUUCCUUCAACGGGGGUCCUAUUCUCAGUUCAGUGGUUUGCUGCUGGCAUUCGCCUCUGUAUUUGCUGUAUUCUGGCUGUGUCUCUCAGGAGCGAUCUACAUCCAGCUCCUGUCGGUCUGCACUUCUUUGCUUCAUCCAUCUUGUCUAAUUGGGUGGCUGUAUAUGUAUGGGCCAAAUGUGGGGCAGGCUCUGAAUGGGUGUUCCUUCAGUCUAUGUUUUAAUCUUUGCCUCUCUCUUCCCUGCCAAGGGUAUUCUUGUUCCCCUUUUAAAGAAGGAGUGAGCAAAUCACUCUUUGUAUUUCUAUAAAGAAUUGAGUAGGAUUUUGAUGGGGAUUGUAUUGAAUCUGUAGAUUGCUUUUGGCUAAAUGACCAUGUUUUCUAUAUUAAUCCUACCAUUCCAUGUGCACAGAACCCUCAAUUUCUUUCUUUAGAGACUUCAAGUUCUUGUCACACAGAUCUUUUACUUGCUUGGUUAAAGUCACACCAAGAUAUUUUAUAUAAUUUGGGACUAUUAUGAAGGA
RNAcentral lists this long non-coding RNA (557 nucleotides) under Rattus norvegicus (Norway rat). RNAcentral describes it as "long non-coding RNA NONRATT030792". Lineage: Eukaryota; Metazoa; Chordata; Mammalia; Rodentia; Muridae. The record is from RNAcentral.